This 164-nucleotide ribosomal RNA is filed under the name Solanum trilobatum. Its description in RNAcentral is "5.8S ribosomal RNA". Lineage: Eukaryota; Viridiplantae; Streptophyta; Magnoliopsida; Solanales; Solanaceae. The record is from RNAcentral.
CGGCGUCGCGGGGGCGGAUACUGGCCUCCCGUGCGCCUCGCGCCCGCGGCCGGCCUAAAUGCGAGUCCACGUCGACGGACGUCGCGGCAAGUGGUGGUUGUAACUCAACUCUCUUGGUGCCGCGGCCACAGCCCGUCGCGCGUGCGUGCUCGACGACCCUGCCG